RNAcentral lists this ribosomal RNA (253 nucleotides) under uncultured bacterium. RNAcentral's name for it is "partial 16S ribosomal RNA". It matches the Rfam family "Bacterial small subunit ribosomal RNA", at positions 99 to 354 of the family's 1533-position model. The record is from RNAcentral.
CGGACGGUGAGUAACGCGUGGGUAACCUGCCUCAUACAGGGGGAUAACAGUUAGAAAUGACUGCUAAUACCGCAUAAGCGCACGGGACUGCAUGGUCCAGUGUGAAAAACCGAGGUGGUAUGAGAUGGACCCGCGUCUGAUUAGCUGGUUGGCGGGUAACGGCCCACCAAAGCGACGAUCAGUAGCCGGCCUGAGAGGGUGAACGGCCACAUUGGGACUGAGACACGGCCCAAACUCCUACGGAAGGCAGCAG